RNAcentral lists this ribosomal RNA (142 nucleotides) under uncultured bacterium. RNAcentral describes it as "partial 16S ribosomal RNA". The record is from RNAcentral.
GCACGAUAGUUAGCCGGCGCUUCUUCUGCAGGUACCGUCACUUUCGCUUCUUCCCUACUGAAAGAGGUUUACAACCCGAAGGCCGUCAUCCCUCACGCGGCGUCGCUGCAUCAGGCUUUCGCCCAUUGUGCAAUAUUCCCCA